UAUUGCCAAAUGUUUCCUGGCAUCUCUCUACCUAUAAAAUUGGUCAUGAGCCUGUUUCAUGGUAAUUUCCUUUACCCUUCUGGAUUAGGAUAUACUAAGUAUAUCAAGAUGAAUAUCUAAAAAACAAAAAUUACAGAAACAUUCUAGAAUGAUACAGAUCCCAUGUAACUGGAUAGAUCUACAUUUUAGUGUUUCUUGAAAUUAAAUGUAUAUAGUCAAUCAUCAAAUUGCAUCACAGAUUCUGAUUUGCAUGGUCUUGAAGAGGGGAAUGAGUUUCCAAAUGUUUAACAAGCUUCUAUAUAAUGCUAAUUAUGAUUCUCCCAAUCUAUGAACUACACUUUAAGUAAAAAGACAGAAGAUUGUUCUUUCAGCUACAGAGGCUGCAGCUGAGGACUCCUGGCCUUUGCUGCAAGGUGUCAGUAUUCUAGUUCUUCACUCUUUCUGUCCUCAAUAUGAAGCAGGAAUUGUACACAUGCUCUCAGCAUCCUAUAAUGAAAAACCAUGGCAUAUGCCAACUUCACAUAUUUUCCAUAUUUAAGAAAGCAGAUUUGUAUAUGUUUGAGAGACCAUAUUGAGAUAAAUUUAAUUUUUUCUAAUUGUUAAAAAUCAAACCACUUGCACACUUAGGCAUUUAAUGGAUCACUCACUAAUUAUAGACCAUUUAAAACAAAGCUAAUGCAGUGUCUUCAUUGUAAACACCUCACAUCAUGCGGACGCAUUUGGAGCUAAAGUUUAGGGCUCUGCAUUGAGAAGCAGUCACCUUGUGCUUAAGCUCUGCAAUUGGUAACUUGUAUCCUACAAUCUUAGCAGUAACUUUAUUUUGGAAAAACUUUAAUAAUAAACCAGUAAAUGUGGUGGUGAAGUCAGUGUUAUGAAUUGGGUGAGGCAUGAAGAUGAGGGAAAAACAAAUUCAUUAGAUAGAAACAAUUAAUCCAGUUUCUCAGUUAAUAUGUAGGUAAAUACAGGAAUCUGCAAAAAAUUUGAAACAGUGUAAAUUGUAUUGUCAUGUGUUAAGAGUUCCUUUUAGCUGCUUAUCAGGAAAUUUGUCUUUUUUAAUUCAAGAACCUUGACCAUAUUAAUUUUCAGCUAUGAGACUAGAUAGUUUAUGGGCAGGGAGCCUACUAGGACAUAACCACCAGAGUUUGUAAUGACCCAUAGAAAAACUAAAACCUUUCUAAGAAAAUUUACUUUUCAAAGGUAGUUGUCCAUGAAUUUAAAAGUCCUACCCAAAACUUGCUGAUAAUAUAUAUUGCUCUCCUGGGAUCAUUUCAAUAAGAUAGUAAUAUUCUGAAGCUGUUUCUUAAUUCAGAUGGAGAUAUUUUAAUAAACUAAUUCUAUAAGCAUGCAUGAAGACAUCGAGGUGGCAUUCACACAGUUGCUCCACAAAUGCACCCAUGCAGGUAAAUACACUCUGGCAUACAGACUUGUAGUUAAUAACGCAUAUUGUAUUUUCAGAUACAUCGUUGUUUUAGUCAGUCCAUACACUUUUCUCUUUCCAACCAACCAUUUUCAAAGCUCAUUACCACAUCACUGUAUGAAUAUAAUUUCACUCAGCACAGCACUUCCUUGUUGAGUGCGGGGUGGAGAAUCGUUCCCUUUGGUGCCUUUGUCUCUUCUCUGGAACAAAGAACCUUACUGCUGUGACCACUUAUGAGAAAAACCUGGCUCACCAGAGGCCCCAUAUGGAGGUCAUUCCAGUGUGUUUCCAGAGGCAGCAUCUGCGUCUUCCAGUGCCUCUGGGGCUGGCUCCUUUAAAGAACUCUAGGGUUGACAUUUAGAAUAGCCAUGAAUUUCCUUUUCAUGUUAAAUUCCAAUAACCUGUAUUCAUAACUAGAUUAACUUGCUAUGUUUAUUGAUGAAAACCAUAUACAUUCCUGACAAUUUGAGCAAUAGUUGGUCAAAGAAUAUAGUAGUAUAUAAUACAAUCAGAUUAAUAGCCAUGCUGUUAAAAUUGCCAUUCCUCUUCAACUCCUAAAAAAAGAGUCAAAUGUCAUGCUCUACUGGACUGUAGACUGUCAGUGUUUUUUUUUUUUUUUCUUAUAAUUAUUGAAUUGUAAAAUGUUAAAAUUGGAAUUUUUAUUUUGUAAAAAGGAACUUUGUAGGAUGUCUGCACUUGUAUUUGCUGAUCCAGUAGAAUGACUGAGUGGUUUCUAAAAAGUUGGUUUGAUUGAGGUGGUAAAAUUCGGCAGUUAGACUUGAAAGUUUCUGUCUCGGCAAGAAAGAAAAGGCUUCAGUUGAAAAUAAAACUAUUUUACUCUUAGAUGUCAAGAUCAUGCCCAAUUAAAAGCCUAAAGCAAAAGUUUGUUUUAAUAAUGAGCUGUCAGUUAAGAAGACUUAUGACAUCAUGAAAAAAUAUUUAUCUUCAGAGAUAUGUAAGAUUCUGUAACUCCAGGUAUCAAUGCUUUGUUAAAUGCACAGCAUAAAACUGACUAUAAAUAAACAAUUUUGGACUAUCACUGUAAAUCUUAUAUUUUGACUUUACCCUGGUUAUAUAAGUAUAAAAUGGGCAUGAUCAAAAGCCAGAAGAAAACUUUUAGCAAAAAAAUUUCAGGGUGACUGCAGUUUUAUUUCAAUGUCAUGUUUGUUUUUUAUUUUAAUUAAUCAUUCUUCAGAAUUGCUUUGAUUACAGUUCUCUUCCUAUUGCUAUGUUUUUAGUGUUUAGAGCUCAUGAAUUGACAGCACAGUCUGCACAAUGACUUGUACCUUAAUUGAAACUGUUGUCCCUCCCAAGUGCAGAGUUGGGCUUCUGCAGCUUCAGCAACUCUUCGCUUCUCAAGAUCAGAACCUAGACACUCAUUCCUGAAUUAUUCCUAAUGCUUAGGCUCUUUAUAUCUAAAAUCCAUGAUUCAGCACAAUGGGUUUAUAUUCAGUAUUGUUUUCACUCACUAGUUCCACCAUUUUUUUACUGUGUUGAGCAACAUUAAUGACCCUUUUUAUUCAUCUUAAACACAGCAUACAUAAGAACAGUUGUAUUACACAAUCAACUUUAACUCGGUAUUACAUUUUAUCACAUAGUGAUCCUUAUUAAGAAAGAAAGAAUAAAGAAAGAUUACUUCCAGAUAAUGAUUCACAUGUUCAAAAAACUGAAUUCCUAGUCCAGCUUAUCCUUCGAAUAAAAGAAAUCAUUGAAAUCUUCAAGAUGGCACACGGUUUGAAUUGUGCCUUGAAUUAUGGGUGAUGGGAGUAAUAAUUAAUUUAGUUCUUAAUUCUGGUCAAUUAUAUAAAACACAUAAUGAGCAUUCAGGAUAUUUACUACUAUUUUAAUUUUCCAAAUGAGAAUUAAGAUUCACAAACAUUUAAUAAAGUACCCAAAAAAACACAGCUAGUGAAUAAUGGGUUUGGAUUUUAAGCUAAGUUGGUUCAUAACCAAUUUUUUUUCUCUAUUCUACCACAUAGGAUACUUAAGAAUAAAAAAGAAAAGAUAUGAUUCUUCUGGAGAAACAUAGAACUAUACAUUGUGCAAUGGGCCUAUGUUUAUCUAGACUUGUCCCCUGACACUACAAAUAAGCAGACUGUGAUUCAUACAUAUCAAGAGAAUUUCCCAUAGACAUGUCCAAAGUAACAUUGGAGUUAGGACUAAAUGUGUGUGUUUUGAUUCCUACUUAGGUUCCUCUUCCUCUCUACACCCUGUAAAUUGAUGUCAGCAAAGCUAUGGAUGAGGACUUAUUUAGGAAAAAUAAAUACAUGUGAGAACAUUCACAGCUCCCUUCUAGCUUCUGAACAUUAGGAACUUGUGAACUUUAUAUGGCUCUAUAAAUUAAAGGACAGAUAUAAGUAGCAUGACAUAAAGGAGAGAAAGUUCUGCUGCUGGAUAUGUAUUGUUUCAUCCGAAAACAAAGCCUGAGGAACAUUUACAUUAGUCAGGUGAUCAGAACAGCAAUUGCAAUAGAGAAACUACUAAAGUUUAACUAAAGAAGAGGUUAUGUUCUUGAAAUAUAGCAGGUGGAAAAUGGAAGAGACAUGGAUAUCCUGAAGAAUUGAUGAAAGCAGUCUUCUAGAAGAACACCUAUUUGAGGGCUAUUUAAUCAGGAUGUUAAUGAUUGCUUAUUGAGUGGUGAAUUUUUCCGCCCACUGUCCCAUAAAAAAUACAAAGAUGUGAAAGUUAAAGAGUCUCAGUCUUAGGAAGGAUUUCCAGAUUGAGCUGGAGAAGUAUGCUGUUAACCUAUUUAAACACAAGGUACGUGUUUGGGAAAAGUUGAUGAUCUUGCUCAGAAGUUUUAGUGCUAAUUUUAUACAAUUGAAAUAUUUUCAGUAAUGGCAAUAAAUAUUAAAUUUCUAAAAGCAUAUAAUACAAUUUGAGUAUUUUCUUCUGAGGCAGGCGUAUAAACUAAUGUGUUUGCCAACUCAUACUAACAUCUAGUUUGGAAUAAUCUUCAAUACAACAGAUAUUUUUCAGUUGGGAUCUAAAUAGAUUUGAUUCUUAAGAUCAGCAACAAAUAUGAAGGAAUGAGCCAGGCCUAGGAUAAAAAAUUUUCUUCCAGUCUCUACCUUCUGAAAGAAUCCUGCACUAUGUAGUCUAUUCUCUAUUUAUUUUCAUCAGAACCUUUUUAAUUAUUCUUUGUGUUAGAGAGAUAGAUAGUGGUGAGCUGUCCAGCCUUUACUGCAUGACAACUUUAUUCUAAGUUCACCUUUCUGACCUGAUUUUUUUUUUUUUUUUUUUUUUUUUUUGGCUUUUUAGGGCUUCUCCCAUGGCAUAUGGAGGUUCCCAGGAUAGGGUCAGAAUCGGAGCCAUAGCUGCUGGCCUACACCACGGCCACAGCAACACAGGAUCCGAGCCACGUCUGCAGCUUACACCAGAGCUCACAGCAAUGCCAGAUCCUUAACCCACUAAGCAAGGCCAGGGAUUGAACCUGCAUCCUUAUGGGUGCUAGUCAGAUUUCUUUCUGCUGAGCCUUGACAGGAACUCCCUGACCUGAUUUUUUUUUUUUAAUGGAGUAUAUCUUUUAGAAUAUGAGUCUGAUAUCUUUUCAGUACUAGCCGAAAGUCUUUUUUUCUCACUUGACUAUUGCCUCCCAGACUAAUUAUGAGAACAAACAAAAUGAAAAAUCCAUGGUAGGAUACCCCAGGUGCCAAGAGAUGGAUCUGAUUGUUUAUUAGGAAAAAGAUCAUUCUGAGAAUUCUAACUUAAAUAUAAAUAUGUGAGGAAUCAAUAAAAGUAAUCAAAAUCAUGUAAUAGUUUCAAUACUCUUUUUAAAUAUAUAUUCCUAUUUCCUUUACAGGUUAACCUGAGGUUUAUGUUUUAUUUUCUAUUUAUUUUUUAUUCUAUUCAACGUCGUUCAGAGCCCUAUCUUAUUACACUUUUAGCGACACUGACAAGUUAUUACAGAAUCUAGCCACAUUGUUUUCUUAUAGUGGAAUUUGUUAAAUU
RNAcentral lists this long non-coding RNA (5368 nucleotides) under Sus scrofa (pig). RNAcentral's name for it is "lncRNA (ENSSSCG00000056805.1)". The record is from RNAcentral. Lineage: Eukaryota; Metazoa; Chordata; Mammalia; Artiodactyla; Suidae.